Molecule: ribosomal RNA, 468 nt
Filed under: uncultured bacterium
Lineage: Bacteria
Description: partial 16S ribosomal RNA
Rfam family: Bacterial small subunit ribosomal RNA
Source: RNAcentral
GACGAACGCUGGCGGCGUGCUUAACACAUGCAAGUCGAACGGAAAGGCCCUGCUUUUGUGGGUUGCUCGUUUGGCGCACGGGUGAGUAACACGUGAGUAACCUGCCCUUGACUUUGUGAUAACUUCAGGAAACUGGGGCUCAUACCGGAUAUGAUCUCCUGCUGCAUGGUGUGGGUUGGAAAGUUUCGGCGUUUGUGGAUGGACUCGCGGCUUAUCAGCUUGUUGGUGGGGUAGUGGCUUACCAAGGCUUUGACGGGUAGCCGGCCUGAGAGGGUGACCGGCGACAUGGGGACUGAGAUACGGACCAGAAGCCUACGGGAGGCAGCAGGGGGGAAUAUUGCACAAGGGGCGGAAGCCUGAUGCAGAAACGCCGCGUGCGGGAUGACGGGCUUCGGGUUGUAAACAGAUGUCGCAGGUGACGAAGAGGGAGUGACGGUAAUGGGUAAAGAAGCAACGGCUAACUACGUG